Molecule: ribosomal RNA, 499 nt
Filed under: uncultured bacterium
Lineage: Bacteria
Description: partial 16S ribosomal RNA
Rfam family: Bacterial small subunit ribosomal RNA
Source: RNAcentral
GACGAACGCUGGCGGCGUGCCUAAUACAUGCAAGUCGAGCGAAGUUUUUCUGGUGCUUGCACUAGAAAAACUUAGCGGCGAACGGGUGAGUAACACGUAAAGAACCUGCCUCAUAGACUGGGACAACUAUUGGAAACGAUAGCUAAUACCGGAUAACAGUAUUUCUCGCAUGAGAGAUAUUUAAAAGUUGGUUAUGCUAACACUAUGAGAUGGCUUUGCGGUGCAUUAGCUAGUUGGUGGGGUAAAGGCCCACCAAGGCGACGAUGCAUAGCCGACCUGAGUGGGUGAUCGGCCACACUGGGACUGAGACACGGCCCAGACUCCUACGGGAGGCAGCAGUAGGGAAUCUUCCGCAAUGGGCGAAAGCCUGACGGAGCAACGCCGCGUGAGUGAAGAAGGAUUUCGGUUCGUAAAGCUCUGUUGUUAGGGAAGAAUGGAUAUGUAGUAACUAUACAUGUAAGAGACGGUACCUAACCAGAAAGCCACGGCUAACUACGUG